ACUCCGGUUGAUCCUGCCGGACCCGACUGCUAUCGGAUUGAGAUUUAGCCAUGCGAGUCGAACGCCUUCCUGUUGCGGGAGGCGUGGCGUACGGCUCAGUAACACGUAGUCAACCUGCCCUGGAGACAUGAAUAACCCCGGGAAACUGGGAUUAAUCCAUGAUAGGUCAUCUCAUCUGGAAGGAGAGAUGGCUUAAAGGGGUGCGAGAGCUUCUUUCUUGCAUUCGCUCCAGGAUGGGACUGCGGCCGAUCAGGCUGUUGGUGGGGUAAUGGCCCACCAAACCUGUAACCGGUACGGGCCUUGAGAGAGGGGGCCCGGAGAUGGACACUGAGAGAAGGGUCCAGGUCCUACGGGGCGCAGCAGGCGCGAAACCUUCGCAAUGCGCGAAAGCGUGACGAGGUUAAUCCGAGUGGUCCCCGCUGAGGGGAUCUUUUGUCGGCUGUAAAAAGGCCGGUGAAUAAGGGGAGGGCAAGUCUGGUGUCAGCCGCCGCGGUAAUACCAGCUCCUCGAGUGGUCGGGGCGAUUAUUGGGCCUAAAGCAUCCGUAGCCGGUUCUGUAGGUCCUCUGUCAAAUCCAACGGCUUAACCGUUGGCCCGCAGAGGAUACCGUAGGACUAGGAGGCGGGAGAGGUGGACGGUACUCCACGUGUAGGGGUAAAAUCCUUUGAUCCGUGGAAGACCACCAGUGGCGAAGGCGGUCCGCCAGAACGCGCUCGACGGUGAGGGAUGAAAGCUGGGGGAGCGAACCGGAUUAGAUACCCGGGUAGUCCCAGCCGUAAACGAUGCAAGCUAGAUGAUCCGGUCGCAAAUCGCGAUCGGAGUGUCGCAGGGAAGCCGUUAAGCUUGCCGCCUGGGGAGUACGGUCGCAAGACUGAAACUUAAAGGAAUUGGCGGGGGAGCACCACAAGGGGUGAAGCCUGCGGUUCAAUUGGAGUCAACGCCAGGAAACUUACCAGGAGAGACAGCAGGUUGAGGGUCAAGCUGAAGACUUUACCUGACGAGCUGAGAGGAGGUGCAUGGCCGUCGCCAGCUCGUGCCGUGAGGCGUCCUGUUAAGUCAGGCAACGAGCGAGACCCCUGUUGGUAAUUGCUAACAGUCCAGAGAUGGAUUGAGGCUAGUUACCAAGACUGCCGCUGCUAAAGCGGAGGAAGGAGGGGGCCACGGCAGGUCAGUAUACGGAAUGCUAGGCGAGCACUUCUGUCUUCUGUGGACGGGCGUUAAAUAACUCCAAGAACAACUUUCACCGUGGAACACUUCGAGUCGAGUGACAGGCAUGAGGCUCGGGAAGAUUUCGACCAGCUAGAGCUGGAAAGAUUUCGGCUUGAGCAACAUGGGUUCACGGAUCAAUCCUAUGAACCCUAUUUCGCCGGCCUCGUCGCGUCAGACGGGCACGUCGAAGGCGGGUCGAACAGGACUGUCGUCGCGAGUUCCAAUCCGGAAUUCGUGACGGGAAUCAUAGGACCCGUGGCGGAACAACAACGACUCGGAUAUUCCGUGUUCUGGGACUCAGAAGCCAGUGUCUACAAACUCAACAUCAACGAUUACGAACUCUACGGAACACUCACUACAAAAUACAACAUUCCACCCGGCAAAAAGGCUGCAAUCAUUGAACCUCCUGACAACUUGAAUCGCGAUGAGGAAUUGUGGUUCAUCAGGGGUUGGUUCGAUGGCGACGGCUGGGUCGAGGAGAUGACAAAACACAUGGACGACAAAGACUACACCUACCCUAGAGUGGGUCUGAAAUCGAUGAGUGAGGAUGCGAGAAACUGGAUUGCUGAGCGUCUCAGCGACGCAAAUAUUCGCGUAUCGAAAUACGACCGCGAAGACGAGAGUCAUGGCUUGUGGAUAAACGGUUACGCUGAGUGUGAGAAGUUCGACACUCUGGUCGGUUUCCGUCAUCCAGAACAACACAGAAAGUUGCAGGAGCUGUUAACGCGUCACAGGAGUUCAGACCUCGCAAGAGGUUCCGGCUGAGGCCCCGAAACUCCUGGGCCACACGCGGGCUGCAAUGGUAAGGACAAUCGGUCCCAACCUCGAAAGAGGGAGGCAAUCCACAAACCUUACCCCAGUUGUGAUUGAGGGUUGAAACCCGCCCUCAUGAAUAUGGAAUCCCUAGUAACCGCGUGUCAUCACCGCGCGGUGAAUACGUCCCUGCUCCUUGCACACACCGCCCGUCGCUUCACCCGAGUUUGGCUUUGACGAGGUCUUCUCUUGUUGGGGAGAUCGAAUCUAAGUUAGGCAAGGGGGGAGAAGUCGUAACAAGGUGGCUGUAGGGGAACCUGCAGCCGGAUCACCUCCU
Molecule: ribosomal RNA, 2298 nt
Filed under: Nitrososphaerota archaeon
Lineage: Archaea; Thermoproteati; Nitrososphaerota
Description: bacterial SSU rRNA
Rfam family: Archaeal small subunit ribosomal RNA
Source: RNAcentral